Molecule: ribosomal RNA, 460 nt
Filed under: uncultured bacterium
Lineage: Bacteria
Description: partial 16S ribosomal RNA
Rfam family: Bacterial small subunit ribosomal RNA
Source: RNAcentral
CCUACGGGCGGCAGCAGUGAGGAAUAUUGGUCAAUGGACGAGAGUCUGAACCAGCCAAGUAGCGUGAAGGAUGACUGCCCUAUGGGUUGUAACCUUCUUUUAUAAAGGAAUAAAACGAGGCACGUGUGCCUUUUUGCAUGUACUUUAUGAAUAAGGAUGGGCUAACACCGUGCCAGCAGCCGCGGUAAUACGGAGGAUCCGAGCGUUAUGCGGAUUUAUUGGGUUUAACGGGUCCGUAGGUGGGUUGUUAAGUCAGAUGUGAAAGUUUGCGGUUUAACCGUAAAAUUGCAGUUGAAACUGGCAGUCUAGAGUACAGGUGAGGUAGGUGGAAUUCGUGGUGUAGCGGUAAAAUCCUUAGAUAUCACGAAGAACCCUGAUUGCGAAGGCAGCUUACUAAACUGUGACUGACACUGAUGCGCGAAAGUGUGGGUAUCAAACAGGAUUAGAUACCCGAGUAGUC